CGCAUCUGUGCAUGCAGCAUAUCAAUAAGCGGAGGAAAAGAAACUAACAAGGAUUCCCUUAGUAACGGCGAGUGAAGCGGGAAGAGCUCAAAUUUGAAAUCUUCAAGGUUUUACCUUGACGAAUUGUAGUUUAAAGAAGUGUUUUCUGCUGAAGUUUUGGUAAAAGUUCUUUGGAAUAGGACAUCAUAGAGGGUGAGAAUCCCGUAUUUGACCAUUAUUUUCAGCUUUGUGAUACACUUUCAAAGAGUCGGAUUGUUUGGGAAUGCAGUCCAAAAUGGGUGGUAAAUUUCAUCUAAAGCUAAAUAUUGGCGAGAGACCGAUAGCGAACAAGUACCGUGAGGGAAAGAUGAAAAGAACUUUGAAAAGAGAGUUAAACAGUACGUGAAAUUGUCAAAAGGGAAGCGUUUGACACCAGUGUUGUUUUCUCGAAAAUCAAUUAAAAAUGGCUCGAUUUUGUAUUGCUUGAGACCUUAAAAGCUCACUGUACAUUUUUCGUGUCUUUUUUAAUGCACUUUUCGUUUAACAAGUCAACAUCAGUUUCUUUGUUGCAAAAGGGUCAUUGGAAGGUGGCUUUCUUUUCGGAGAAAGUGUUUAUAGCCUUUGGCCUCUGCAAUCGGAGAGACUGAGGUCUGCAGCGUAGACUCUUCGGGGUUAGAUACAUUUGUGCUAAGUUAUAGCUUUUUAUAGACAACUUGUUGACUAUAAUUAGUCUUGUAGCUUACUCGCUUAUGCUAUUUUACCUACGCUUAGGAUGUUGACGCAUGAGAUAUACGC
RNAcentral lists this ribosomal RNA (774 nucleotides) under uncultured Neocallimastigales. RNAcentral's name for it is "partial large subunit ribosomal RNA". It matches the Rfam family "Eukaryotic large subunit ribosomal RNA", at positions 26 to 612 of the family's 3401-position model. The record is from RNAcentral. Lineage: Eukaryota; Fungi; Neocallimastigomycota; Neocallimastigomycetes; Neocallimastigales.